This 978-nucleotide long non-coding RNA is filed under the name Sus scrofa (pig). RNAcentral describes it as "lncRNA (ENSSSCG00005028383.1)". The record is from RNAcentral. Lineage: Eukaryota; Metazoa; Chordata; Mammalia; Artiodactyla; Suidae.
UCGUGGAUUCAGGAAUGUCAGGGAGAAUGUGAAGCUGUGGUAUGUUUUCCUAAAGAGGUGUGGUUGAUUCGUAAGUGAAUAUCUUUGAAGGAACUUGACAGAACAAACAUGUGUCAGUGCUACCUUCAUGAACUUGAUGUUGUCUGGGAGCAAUGCUGGAACCGUCCCAUGAACUCAGAGGGAAAGGAGCUUUAUUAAGAAAAACAAAUAACCAAUAAGGCCUUAUUAAAAAUAGGCAAUAGAGGAGGGAUACUGACUUAGCGGCUGGAAGAAUUUGAUUUUCCUCUAUUAUUAUUGAGGUUACCUAGUUCACUGUUCCUUUGAAAGUAUUUUCUCCUCAUUUUUAACUAUUGUGAUAGUCCUUUAAAAACUAUCAACAGAAAUGGAACCAUAACAUCAUGUUGACAUUUGAGGUACUUAUUUUAGGUAAGAAGUGAAAUACCUGUAUACAUCUUCUGAGUAAUUUUGUUGACUAAAAAUUGCAGGAUCACUCAAGUUGAAUGCUCUCUGGAUUGGACAACAGAAGGCCUGGUUCUGCCCUUAGCUCUGCUGUUCACUGGACUCACAUCUUCUGUUUGUCAGGAGUCAUCUCCAGGGAUGGAACAAGAAACACUUUGAAUAAGGAUGUGUCCAUCUCAGGGAGGGCAUGAGAAACCAUGGAAGCAGCUUAGCAUUUGUUCAUGAAACUAGGUAAGAGAACCCAGUUUUACCAUUCUGAGAGAUGCAGUUGAGUAUUUAAAGAUUCACAUUACCUGAGACUUUCUGGUAUCUUUUAUUUUUCUUUUCUUUUAUGACCACCCCAUGGCAUAUGGAGUUCCCAGGCCAGGGAUCAGAUCUGAGCCACAGUUGUGACCUAGGCCACAGCUGCAGUAAUGCUGGAUCCUUUAACCCAUGGUGUUGGGCCAGGGAUUGAACUUGUGUCCUGGAGCUACAGAGAUGCUGCUGAUCCCAUUGUGCCACAGUAGGAAUGCCUCUACU